This 497-nucleotide ribosomal RNA is filed under the name uncultured bacterium. Its description in RNAcentral is "partial 16S ribosomal RNA". It matches the Rfam family "Bacterial small subunit ribosomal RNA", at positions 28 to 507 of the family's 1533-position model. The record is from RNAcentral.
GAUGAACGCUGGCGGCGUGCCUAAUACAUGCAAGUCGAGCGAACGGACGAGAAGCUUGCUUCUCUGAUGUUAGCGGCGGACGGGUGAGUAACACGUGGAUAACCUACCUAUAAGACUGGGAUAACUUCGGGAAACCGGAGCUAAUACCGGAUAAUAUUUUGAACCGCAUGGUUCAAAAGUGAAAGACGGUCUUGCUGUCACUUAUAGAUGGAUCCGCGCUGCAUUAGCUAGUUGGUAAGGUAACGGCUUACCAAGGCAACGAUGCAUAGCCGACCUGAGAGAGUGAUCGGCCACACUAGAGCUGAGACGCGGUCCAGACUCCUACGGGAGGCAGCAGAAGGGAAUCGUACGCAAUGGGCGAAAGCAUGACGGAGCAACGCCGCGUGAGUGAUGAAGGUCUUCGGAUCGUAAAACUCUGUUAUGAGGGAAGAACAUAUGUGUAAGUAACUGUGCACAUAGUGACGGUACCUAAUCAGAAAGCAACGGCUAACUACGUG